AUUUGAUAAGCAUUCGAGUAUAUAAGGCUCAGCGCCCUGCCCACGAGACCAGUCUCUGCGGAGCCUUAAUCUUUGCUGUCUAACGUCUUUCAACAAUGAUGAGUCGUGGUGUGUUCGUCCUCCUGCUGGUGGCGAUGGCUUUGGCUACGCUGGUGGUGGCUGGGCCUUUCCCUGAAGCCGAAGCCGGAGCCAAGGCGGAUCCGCACUUCUACAUCCGCAGGCCCUACUACGGUAUCCAUAGGCCUAUCUAUGGUGGCUACCAUAGGCCUUAUUAUGGUUAGAGAAGGACAGACUGACCAGGCAAGGAAGUGACUGGGCAUUCGUUAUCAGCCGCUUUCACUUCACAGGAUGUUUAGGAAGUUCGUGGGACUUCAUGAAAGGCGUUUAAAAAGCGGAAACCUUCAUCAUUGAUUCUCUUAAGAUUUAAAUCCUUUUUUUGUGGAUCAAAAUUGUCAAAUAAAUUGUUGAUAGCUUGUG
Long non-coding RNA from Penaeus indicus, 477 nucleotides. RefSeq lists it as uncharacterized. The transcript is spliced from 3 exons. Lineage: Eukaryota; Metazoa; Arthropoda; Malacostraca; Decapoda; Penaeidae. The record is from RefSeq and is a predicted model, not a curated record.